This 412-nucleotide ribosomal RNA is filed under the name uncultured bacterium. Its description in RNAcentral is "bacterial SSU rRNA". It matches the Rfam family "Bacterial small subunit ribosomal RNA", at positions 505 to 916 of the family's 1533-position model. The record is from RNAcentral.
GUGUCAGCCGCCGCGGUAAUACGUAGGGAGCGAGCGUUGUCCGGAUUUACUGGGUGUAAAGGGUGCGUAGGCGGCUCUGCAAGUCAGGUGUGAAAACUAUCGGCUCAACUGAUAGACUGCAUUUGAAACUGUGGAGCUUGAGUGAAGUAGAGGCAGAUGGAAUUCCCGGUGUAGCGGUGAAAUGCGUAGAGAUCGGGAGGAACACCAGUGGCGAAGGCGAUCUGCUGGGCUUUAACUGACGCUGAGGCACGAAAGCAUGGGUAGCAAACAGGAUUAGAUACCCUGGUAGUCCAUGCCGUAAACGAUGAUUACUAGGUGUGGGGGGUCUGACCCCCUCCGUGCCGGAGUUAACACAAUAAGUAAUCCACCUGGGAAGUACGACCGCAAGGUUGAAACUCAAAGGAAUUGACGG